ACAGUGGUGGUUCAUUGGUAGAAUUCUUGCUUUCCAUUCAGGAGACCUGGGUUCGAUUCCUAGCCAAUGCA
RNAcentral lists this transfer RNA (71 nucleotides) under Loxodonta africana (African savanna elephant). It matches the Rfam family "tRNA". Rfam says of the family: Transfer RNA (tRNA) molecules are approximately 80 nucleotides in length. The record is from Rfam by way of RNAcentral. Lineage: Eukaryota; Metazoa; Chordata; Mammalia; Proboscidea; Elephantidae.